AACGAUACAGUGGCAGACGGGUGAGUAACGCGUGGGAACGUACCUUUCACUACGGAAUAGCUCUGGGAAACUGGUGGUAAUACCGUAUACGCCCUCCGGGGGAAAGAUUUAUCGGUGAAAGAUCGGCCCGCGUUGGAUUAGCUAGUUGGUGAGGUAAUGGCUCACCAAGGCGACGAUCCAUAGCUGGUCUGAGAGGAUGAUCAGCCACAUUGGGACUGAGACACGGCCCAAACUCCUACGGGAGGCAGCAGUAGGGAAUCUUGCACAAUGGGCGAAAGCCUGAUGCAGCCAUGCCGCGUGAAUGAUGAAGGCCUUAGGGUUGUAAAAUUCUUUCGUCAGGGAUGAUAAUGACCGUACCUGAAGAAGAAGCCCCGGCUAACUUCGUGCCAGCAGCCGCGGUAAUACGAAGGGGGCUAGCGUUGUUCGGAAUUACUGGGCGUAAAGCGCACGUAGGCGGAUUUUUAAGUCAGGUGUGAAAUCCCGGGGCUCAACCUCGGAACUGCAUUUGAAACUGGAAGUCUUGAGACCAGGAGAGGUUAGCGGAAUACCGAGUGUAGAGGUGAAAUUCGUAGAUAUUCGGUGGAACACCAGUGGCGAAGGCGGCUAACUGGACUGGUACU
RNAcentral lists this ribosomal RNA (620 nucleotides) under uncultured Hyphomonadaceae bacterium. RNAcentral describes it as "bacterial SSU rRNA". It matches the Rfam family "Bacterial small subunit ribosomal RNA", at positions 86 to 741 of the family's 1533-position model. The record is from RNAcentral. Lineage: Bacteria; Pseudomonadati; Pseudomonadota; Alphaproteobacteria; Hyphomonadales; Hyphomonadaceae.